AUUGAACGCUGGCGGCACGCCUAACACAUGCAGUCGAGCGGUAACAUGAUUGGUGCUUGCACCAAUUGAUGACGAGCGGCGGACGGGUGAGGAACACGUAGGAACCUACCCAGAAGAGGGGGACAACCAGAGGAAACUUUGGCUAAUACCGCGUAAUCUCUUUUGAGGAAAGCUGCUCAGCAAUGGGUGGUGCUUUUGGAGGGGCCUGCGUCCGAUUAGCUUGUUGGUGAGGUAAUAGCUCACCAAGGCGAUGAUCGGUAACUGGUCUGAGAGGACGACCAGUCACACUGGGACUGAGACACGGCCCAG
Molecule: ribosomal RNA, 309 nt
Filed under: uncultured Aquicella sp.
Lineage: Bacteria; Pseudomonadati; Pseudomonadota; Gammaproteobacteria; Legionellales; Coxiellaceae
Description: bacterial SSU rRNA
Rfam family: Bacterial small subunit ribosomal RNA
Source: RNAcentral